RNAcentral lists this ribosomal RNA (353 nucleotides) under uncultured bacterium. RNAcentral describes it as "bacterial SSU rRNA". It matches the Rfam family "Bacterial small subunit ribosomal RNA", at positions 29 to 380 of the family's 1533-position model. The record is from RNAcentral.
AUUGAACGCUGGCGGCAUGCCUUACACAUGCAAGUCGAACGGUAACGCGGGGGCAACCCUGGCGACGAGUGGCGAACGGGUGAGUAAUACAUCGGAACGUGUCCUGUUGUGGGGGAUAACCCAUCGAAAGGUGAGCUAAUACCGCAUGAUCUGGAGACAGCAAAGCGAGGGGACCGGUAACGGCCUUGCGCGAUUGGAGCGGCCGAUGUCCGAUUAGCUAGUUGGGUGGGGUAAAGCCCACCAAGGCAACGAUCGGUAGCUGGUCUGAGAGGAUGAUCAGCCACACUGGGACUGAGACACGGCCCAGACUCCUACGGGAGGCAGCAGUGGGGAAUUUUGGACAAUGGGGGCAA